Long non-coding RNA from Magnolia sinica, 689 nucleotides. RefSeq lists it as uncharacterized. The transcript has 2 exons. Lineage: Eukaryota; Viridiplantae; Streptophyta; Magnoliopsida; Magnoliales; Magnoliaceae. The record is from RefSeq and is a predicted model, not a curated record.
UAGUGGCACAUGUCCAUGGUUUGUGGAUGAGCAUUGGCACUAAAAACAGAUACAUGGUUGUAAAAUGAACUAACUGUUGCCUUGUACAAUGCAUUUUCGAUAAUGUAACCAAAUAGGCCCUAAGGUUUAGUUAAGAUAAUGGUAUUAAAGUAAGAAAAUUGUUCUUUUACCCACCCGUACAUCUUGUGCCAUUUAUGGGCAUGUCCAUGUUCAGCAGUUAAUACAUUUCUUGUUGUCAUCUAAUAGGGAAGAAGACAAUUAAACUUGAAAUAUGCACUAGACAGAAUGGUAACACUAGAAAUAUAAAAGCUACCAAGCAUAGUGUUGUCAUCAGGUUUAUCGAUGAAGCUUGAUGAGCUGCAGAAAGAGCUCUCUUCAAGUCAUGAAGGAAUAUUGCCACAUACCAUUCUUUCCACCCAAUAGAUCAGCACGUUAAGUGCCGAAAAACCAACUUCCAUGGAGUAGUUUUUAAAAGGCUAAUGGUGGAUGAUCCACUCUUCUCAUUGCAUACAAGUGGGGCAAUCCAGAGUUCAAAUCACUUCAGCCUUUUGACGCCACUCGUGCUAGGAGUAGACCAUAUAGAGGAUUUGUUUUUAUUUAUUUAUUUAUAUUCAAGACCAUUUUCAAUUUAUUGUAAUAAAUAUUAUAUUUUUUUGUUGUGUAGUAAUAUAAAUUUUGUUUAAUAUUCA